CAAAGUGAAGCUGCUCUCAGGCCAAGGGACAUGCGUGUCGUUUGACGAGGAUCAUCCAGACCGGGCCUUCGGCGAUAGCGCAACAGAGCACGUCGGCGAGGAGGUGGAGGAGGAGGUCGCCGAGGGUGGAAGUGGAGGCGUCGGCGCGGCGGAGGAGGUGCUCGGCCGAGGGGAAAUGGAGAAGCUCAUCGAAUGUGGCGAGGGGUUAACCCCUUUGGGGUCCGUCGGCGAGGAGGAG
This 238-nucleotide long non-coding RNA is filed under the name Ananas comosus (pineapple). RNAcentral's name for it is "long non-coding RNA (ACOM_LNC019479)". The record is from RNAcentral. Lineage: Eukaryota; Viridiplantae; Streptophyta; Magnoliopsida; Poales; Bromeliaceae.